GUCGCCUUGGGGACGCGUCCCGGCGCGGUGCGGGUGCCCCGGCCCGGGGAGAAGCGCUCGGGAGCGGGAGGCCCGCGCUGACGGCCCAGGGGCCGUACUCACAGUCCUCUUUGCACCGCUCCGCCACGUCCCCGUUGGCCCUGCGGACCCCAGCGGGCCCGCGCGGCUCGCGGACCGCCCGCCGUCCCUAAGGCGGACAGGGAAGGGCGUCCGCGUUCACCGCCAGGAUCUGAACGAGAAACUGAUGGCCUGCUCGAACGAGGGUGAUUCGAGGGCCGUCUAUGUACAGGGGGGCUAAGUAGGAAGGUGUGGUGGGUUUGGGGAAACCACUGUCAUACUGAGGUUCCAAGGAAAGGGGCGGCGGAGAGGUUCCCCCGCCCUAGAAGGGGAGUCUUUAGGGCCGCUGUCACUGUGGUUGAGGGCAUCGCCAGUCCGAGGUGAGGAGCAGAGAAGCUCGCGAUAUAAAUACCUGGCCUGUCUGGACUCUCGCCCUGUGGUCUGAUUUUGCUUCCCGUUGGCUGAGCCCAUUGCUGCAGCUGGAGACAGACAGACAAACAGACUCGGACGGUUGGAGAUGGCUGCCAGGCGGUGUGAAUUGUAGAAGCCCAAACGUGACCAUGUGACUGUGAAAAGGAUCAUACAGUGACAAUGACAGAGUUGUGGGGAAGAUGAGACGCUUGCGAUGAAGGCACUGUGGGCGCUGAAGCACAGAGUGGCCCAGGGCGCCCAUCGGCGGCGGCCCGAGCACCUUCCUUCCCCGUCUGAAACAUGCAGCAGGCCUGCUUGCUGGGAUGAGCCCCUGUCCAGGAGAAGACAGCCGUCUGAGGCCACAGCCGUCCCCAGAGCAGGAGAGCAUUGGAGCCGCGCCUCUGAUCGGGAAACACGCAGGUCACGGACAGCCUGGCCACGGGACAAGAUGUCAGUGGGCCCCCAGCCUCGUCAGCCAGCCAGGGCUCGCCCAGGACCGGCAGCUGUGCUGAACGGCACUUGUCCCACUGGCUAAGGAGUCUCGGCUGAGAACCGUUGAGACUGGCCAGCUUCUCAGAUUGCCACCCCAAGGGCUCCGAUCCUGGGGCUGUGACUGGAAGGACCUUCAGCCCUGGACCGGCAGGGCCAAGAGCAACAGCCCAUGGCUGACGGGAAGCGCUUGCCUGUGUCCCUUCCCUGGUGCUGACCUUCCUGCCCCCCGGCCAUGUGUCCCUCUGUUCAGGACCCCUCCCCUCUAGGGCCUGACCAGAACCAUCUCCUGCCUCCCAGCACAAGGACAGGCCUGACCACUGCUCACCCCCACCUGGGCUUCCCGAUAACCCAGCCCACCAGCCAAGCCUCCCCACCCAACCCAGUCUGCCUCCCUCUGGCCAUCUGCCCCACACACAGGGAGUGUAGUAGACGCUCUGCCUGGUUUUAGGAAUUGUGUCUCUACCCCUUGUGGCUAAGGGACCUCUGGAAUGCCAGCCACAGGAGACAAAGCUUGUCUCUGGUAGCAGACGCUGCCUCAGUUCCUCUCCCUGCCCCCAGAGCUUGGUCGGAAGUCAAUGA
Artibeus jamaicensis (Jamaican fruit-eating bat) is the source of this 1539-nucleotide long non-coding RNA. RefSeq lists it as uncharacterized. The record is from RefSeq and is a predicted model, not a curated record. NCBI's taxonomy places the organism in Eukaryota, Metazoa, Chordata, Mammalia, Chiroptera, Phyllostomidae. The transcript is spliced from 4 exons.